Molecule: ribosomal RNA, 323 nt
Filed under: uncultured bacterium
Lineage: Bacteria
Description: bacterial SSU rRNA
Rfam family: Bacterial small subunit ribosomal RNA
Source: RNAcentral
GACGAACGCUGGCGGCGUGCUUAACACAUGCAAGUCGAGCGGUAAGGCCCUUUCGGGGGUACACGAGCGGCGAACGGGUGAGUAACACGUGGGUGACCUGCCCUCAGCUCUGGGAUAAGCCUGGGAAACCGGGUCUAAUACUGGAUAUGACUCCAUGACGCAUGUUGUGGGGUGGAAAGCCUUGUGCGGCUGAGGAUGGGCCCGCGGCCUAUCAGCUUGUUGGUGGGGUGAUGGCCUACCAAGGCGACGACGGGUAGCCGGCCUGAGAGGGCGACCGGCCACACUGGGACUGAGACACGGCCCAGACUCCGUACGGGAGGCAG